Long non-coding RNA from Heterocephalus glaber (naked mole-rat), 1080 nucleotides. RefSeq lists it as uncharacterized. NCBI's taxonomy places the organism in Eukaryota, Metazoa, Chordata, Mammalia, Rodentia, Bathyergidae. The record is from RefSeq and is a predicted model, not a curated record.
ACGGCCGACUGUCAAGUUCCACGGUCCGUGUGUAUUCAUGAGAACUAAAGGCAAAGUCCUGGAACUAGGAGAGACAGAAACUGACUGGCCUAGAACCCAAACAGCAAACUGAGUGCCUUUCUGAACAUUUAACUCUGACCCCUUGAGAUUCCAGUUGGGAACAAACACAAUCCAAACAUUUCCCUUUCUCCAAAAGCCCCAAACCCCUCAGGCUCCUCACCAGCGACAGCUGGGUCGCUUCAAGUCACCUUACCCUCCCCAGUGACGCACCCACGCGCUCAGGCCCCAAGGGUGACCGGAGCCUUUUUUUUUUUUUUUUUAAGUUCUUCUUUUAACCAAAAUUGAAGCAGUUUCCUUCUCUCCUUCCUCUCCGUUAAGUAGCCCUGAGUCCUCCCCAGAGCCCAGGGUCGAGCGGACACCACCCUCAGUUUCCCAUUCCCGGGCGCAGGAGGGUCCCGAAGGUCCGGACACCCCGGGCCCGGCCGCAGGACAGCAGGGGGCGCAGCGGAGGGCUAGGCCGCAGCUUCGUAAACAAACCCGCCAGCCGCGGAGCCCCGGGCAGCGGGGCGGGUCGGCAGCUCUCGGCCUCUCCACCCCCAGCUUCCGGCCAGCGGGCCAUGAUUCCCCCAUAGCGAGCGCUUUCUCCCGAAGCCCCCAUGCCGCUGACGCCCGCUGACGCCCGCGCUCGAGGUCCCCGUGGAGAAGAGCCCCGGACACCGCACGACCUCGGGCGGUGGCGGAGCAGAAAGCCGUUGCCUUAACGCCAACAGCUCUGCCACUGCUCCCUGCAGAAAGGUGCCAACACUGCGGGCUGGACAAGUCGGGAGAGUCCAAGAGGACAUAGGUGGAGUCGCCGAGCGGCUCACUGCUGCCACCUGCUGCUACUGAGUAGCAUCGGUCAUUCUUCCUUCAUAGGAGAGGCUGGAGGGAAGGAAGCACCCUGAGCAGAGACACACGGAGUUAAGACCCUUAAAAGAUCGGAUCUGUGGAAAGAUUGUGGUGCACCCCUCUACUGUGAGGCUUCAAAACGGAAAGAAAAUUAAAAGUAAUAAAAGUCUAAGUAAGGAUGUAUCACAAAAA